GGGCCCGUAGCUCAGCUUGGACAGUUUGGAUUAGCAAGGGCUAUUCUGAGUCUCAAGCGACGCUCUCCUAAGGCGAAGGCCAGGGGUUCAAAUCCCCUCGGGCCCG
This 106-nucleotide transfer RNA is filed under the name Microcaldota archaeon. Its description in RNAcentral is "tRNA-Arg". It matches the Rfam family "tRNA". Rfam says of the family: Transfer RNA (tRNA) molecules are approximately 80 nucleotides in length. Their secondary structure includes four short double-helical elements and three loops (D, anti-codon, and T loops). The record is from RNAcentral. Lineage: Archaea; Nanobdellati; Microcaldota.